RNAcentral lists this ribosomal RNA (301 nucleotides) under uncultured bacterium. RNAcentral describes it as "partial 16S ribosomal RNA". It matches the Rfam family "Bacterial small subunit ribosomal RNA", at positions 509 to 807 of the family's 1533-position model. The record is from RNAcentral.
CAGUCGCCGCGGGAAUACGUAGGGUGCAAGCGUUAAUCGGAAUUACUGGGCGUGAAGCGUGCGCAGGCGGUUAUAUAAGACAGAUGUGAAAUCCCCGGGCUCAACCUGGGAACUGCAUUUGUGACUGUAUAGCUAGAGUACGGCAGAGGGGGAUGGAAUUCCGCGUGUAGCAGUGAAAUGCGUAGAUAUGCGGAGGAACACCGAUGGCGAAGGCAAUCCCCUGGGCCUGUACUGACGCUCAUGCACGAAAGCGUGGGGAGCAAACAGGAUUAGAUACCCGAGUAGUCCCUGUCUCUUAUAC